Molecule: long non-coding RNA, 333 nt
Filed under: Homo sapiens (human)
Lineage: Eukaryota; Metazoa; Chordata; Mammalia; Primates; Hominidae
Description: HSALNT0164089
Source: RNAcentral
GGCCAGAUGGUGAAUCAUCAUGAGGCCAGCAUGUAUCUGAACAUCCUCGGUCCAAAACAGAGCAGAGGCCUGCAUGAGGUUGCCCUGGGGAACCUGGAAUCUGAGCUAAUGAGGCGACUUCCUGGCCCAACCCAGACAGCUGAGGCUGCAGCACCAUCGGUAGUAAGGGACAGGUAGCCUGGGACCUCUUCUGAGCCUAACAGUCUGGGUCCCCUUGUGGGUAAAAGCAUCCAACAAGUGUCUGUGUGUGCUGUGAACAAGUACACUGGACAAUAGGUGUAGACAGGGACCAUCCGGAACACUGAAAGACAUGGUCAUCCCGCCUGUACCAUC